Molecule: long non-coding RNA, 401 nt
Organism: Acanthaster planci (crown-of-thorns starfish)
Lineage: Eukaryota; Metazoa; Echinodermata; Asteroidea; Valvatida; Acanthasteridae
Source: RefSeq, a predicted model, not a curated record
GGGCGCUGUUCUUGGAACGUGUGGAUGUCAUGGUUGUGAGGGACGCGACGAUCGGUGCGCACUAAAUUUGGAGUUUAACUUCGAGAAAAAAGGUGCCAGAAUGUGGUAUUGACAUAGAUGGCUGGAGAAUGUUACAGUGACUCCAGGCAGUAUGGAGAUAUUUUGUAGCCUGAGUUUGAAUUGCCCAACAAAAGGAUGAAGAUGGCAACUUCAGUUUCAAGCUCUGCAACAGGAGAGUGUCCGACUUGAAGGAGAAAGUCCUUUCAUUUUCCCGAAUGUAAAACUGACAUCCUCUAUUGCCAUGGAGACAGCCGCGCUUGCAAAGGUUACCAACCAAAUUCCAAGUCGGGAAAGGAAAGUGUUCAAGGGGUGAGAUUUCUUAGCUUUUUAGCUGAUUUCAG